AUAAGAAGGAACCGGCAAACAAGCACGGUUCCGCCAAAGGCAUCGCGGUCUGAGUCUUGGGAGGAAGCCCCCUCUGGCGCGCCGUAAGGCUGCUGCCGCCGGGCUCAUAUAAUGAGUUCGACAAGCCAAUCGGGCGAAAAGCUCGGCUUGAGGGGUUAGGACGCGAACUGAGAAGGGCAAGGCUCAACGCCUUGCCCUUUUUU
Molecule: small RNA, 203 nt
Filed under: Kaistia hirudinis
Lineage: Bacteria; Pseudomonadati; Pseudomonadota; Alphaproteobacteria; Hyphomicrobiales; Kaistiaceae
Description: Alphaproteobacterial sRNA ar9
Rfam family: Alphaproteobacterial sRNA ar9
Source: Rfam by way of RNAcentral